GAUGAACGCUGGCGGCGUGCCUAAUACAUGCAAGUCGAGCGAACGGACGAGAAGCUUGCUUCUCUGAUGUUAGCGGCGGACGGGUGAGUAACACGUGGAUAACCUACCUAUAAGACUGGGAUAACUUCGGGAAACCGGAGCUAAUACCGGAUAAUAUUUUGAACCGCAUGGUUCAAAAGUAAAAGACGGUCUUGCUGUCACUUAUAGAUGGAUCCGCGCUGCAUUAGCUAGUUGGUAAGGUAACGGCUUACCAAGGCAACGAUGCAUAGCCGACCUGAGAGGGAGAUCGGCCACACUGGAACUUAGACACGGUCCAGACUCCUACGGGAGGCAGCAGUAGGGAAUCUUCCGCAAUGGGCGAAUGCCUGACGGAGCAACGCCGCGUGAGUGAUGAAGGUCUUCGGAUCGUAAAACUCUGUUAUUAGGGAAGAACAUAUGUGUAAGUAACUGUGCACAUCUUGACGGUACCUAAUCAGAAAGCCACGGCUAACUACGUG
This 497-nucleotide ribosomal RNA is filed under the name uncultured bacterium. Its description in RNAcentral is "partial 16S ribosomal RNA". It matches the Rfam family "Bacterial small subunit ribosomal RNA", at positions 28 to 507 of the family's 1533-position model. The record is from RNAcentral.